Nothoprocta perdicaria is the source of this 552-nucleotide long non-coding RNA. RefSeq lists it as uncharacterized. The transcript has 2 exons. NCBI's taxonomy places the organism in Eukaryota, Metazoa, Chordata, Aves, Tinamiformes, Tinamidae. The record is from RefSeq and is a predicted model, not a curated record.
CGACGGUCAUCACCAACUUGUCCUCCGUGCUGAAGGACGAGAGCGCCUGGGAGAAGCCGCACGAGUUUUACCCCGAGCACUUCCUGGACGAGGCCGGGCACUUUGUGAAGCGAGAAGCCUUCAUGCCUUUCUCAGCAGGGCGGCGUGUCUGUCUGGGGGAACAGCUGGCCAGGAUGGAGCUCUUCAUUUUCUUCACCACUCUCCUGCAGAAAUUCACCUUUGUACUGCCAGAGAAUCAGCCCAAGCCACGAGAAGACUAUUACUUUGCGCUCAUAUCCUUCCCCUACCCUUAUCAAAUUCGAGCUCUCCCAAGAUAAGUGUAAAGUGCUCUCCUUACACCCAGAGAGCUGCAGUUGGGCUGGACUUUGUCCCAGCUCAUGACAGACUAUCACUGCUGAAACACACUGGAAAGCAUCCAUUAAAAAAUGACUAUCGUUUCAGCCACAGAAGCAGGGAAUGUGUGAAACAAUAUUGCAUUUUCUACUAAUGUUUUUAAAGAGAAACCCUGCUGUUUACAUUUAUCACUUCCUAUGUAAUUAGUUCCUGAAACCU